This 440-nucleotide ribosomal RNA is filed under the name uncultured bacterium. Its description in RNAcentral is "partial 16S ribosomal RNA". It matches the Rfam family "Bacterial small subunit ribosomal RNA", at positions 338 to 795 of the family's 1533-position model. The record is from RNAcentral.
CCUACGGGUGACUGCAGUGGGGAAUAUUGCACAAUGGGCGCAAGCCUGAUGCAGCAACGCCGCGUGAGCGAUGAAGGCCUUCGGGUCGUAAAGCUCUGUCCGCAAGGAAGAAAAUGACGGUACUUGAGGAGGAAGCCCCGGCUAAAUGCGUGCCAGCAGCCGCGGUAAUACGUAGGGGGCUAGCGUUAUCCGGAUUUACUGGGCGUAAAGGGUGCGUAGAUGGUUUAUUAAGUAAGAGGUGAAAGGUCGCGGCUCAAACCGGAGACUGCAUUUGAAACUGGGGAACUGGAGUGCAGGAGAGGUAAGCGGAAUUCCGAGUGUAGCGGUGAAAUGCGUAGAUAUUAGGAGGAACACCAGUGGCGAAGGCGGCUUACUGGACUGUAACUGACACUGAGGCUCGAAAGCGUGGGGAGCAAACAGGAUUAGAUACCCCUGUAGUC